RNAcentral lists this ribosomal RNA (318 nucleotides) under Sordariales sp. MSX_55526. Its description in RNAcentral is "eukaryotic LSU rRNA". It matches the Rfam family "Eukaryotic large subunit ribosomal RNA", at positions 331 to 670 of the family's 3401-position model. Lineage: Eukaryota; Fungi; Ascomycota; Sordariomycetes; Sordariales. The record is from RNAcentral.
AGACCGAUAGCGAACAAGUAGAGUGAUCGAAAGAUGAAAAGCACUUUGAAAAGAGGGUUAAAUAGCACGUGAAAUUGUUGAAAGGGAAGCGCUUGUGACCAGACUUGCGCCGGGCUGAUCAUCCGGUGUUCUCACCGGUGCACUCUGCCCGGCUCAGGCCAGCAUCGGUUCUCGCGGGGGGAUAAAGGCCCUGGGAACGUAGCUCCUCCGGGAGUGUUAUAGCCCGGGGCGCAAUGCCCUCGCGGGGACCGAGGUUCGCGCUCUGCAAGGAUGCUGGCGUAAUGGUCAUCAGCGACCCGUCUUGAAACACGGACCAAG